GAUAGUAUUUUUUUUUUACUUAAUAGGAGGGUUUACUUCUGAUGCUUGAUGUUGGUCCGACAAAGCAGGCUGUGCUGCAAGAAGUCCAAAUGCUUGUUUUAUGUUAGUGCAAAAGUACAAAAGAAUGUCCAUUAAUUAGUUUAUUAUUUGAAUUUCUUUUUGCCAUCAAUGUCUCUGUUCAAUGUACUGUGAAUUUUGGCAUAGUUGUAUUUAAUCGAAACUUCUAAUAUCUCUUUUUGCAUUUACGCAGAUGAUAUUCAACAAGAAUGAUGAAUUAGGACUUGUCGUAUUUGGAACCAAGGUAUUUUCAAGUGUCUGAAUUAGUGUGAUUCAAGAAGAGGAAGUGCGUGNNN
RNAcentral lists this long non-coding RNA (353 nucleotides) under Olea europaea (common olive). RNAcentral's name for it is "long non-coding RNA (OEUR_LNC003203)". The record is from RNAcentral. Lineage: Eukaryota; Viridiplantae; Streptophyta; Magnoliopsida; Lamiales; Oleaceae.